This is a long non-coding RNA of Medicago truncatula (barrel medic), 1961 nucleotides long. RefSeq lists it as uncharacterized. The transcript is spliced from 6 exons. NCBI's taxonomy places the organism in Eukaryota, Viridiplantae, Streptophyta, Magnoliopsida, Fabales, Fabaceae. The record is from RefSeq and is a predicted model, not a curated record.
AAAGUGAAAAACCAAUAAAAGGAAUCGCAGAAGCUAUUCAAACCUCAAAACCUCAACCUUUUCAACCCAUUCCGAACAGUUUUGCGAACCUUCAAAACUCAGAAUCCUUCAAUCCAUUGGAACCUCAAAAUCCAUUCGAAAAUCUCAAUAGCUUCAACCAUGCUGAACCCCAUUCGAAAAUUCUCAAUUCUGUUACUCGUGUUCGUGUUUACGUGUUCUUCCCGAUCUUAGUACUGUGUUGCCAGCAGUGGGCGUGCAGAGGACUGUUUCAGGGUUUUUUGGGGGGCCGGUUGUGGACUUAGCAUGUUUUUAGUCUGUGAGUGCAGUUGAUGUGGUGAUAGUGCAGGCGGGCUUAUUAGUGGCAUGUCUACUUCUGUAGGUGUAGCUGUGUUCCUUUCCUUUGGGGCUGAUUUUAGGUGCCAAUUAGGUGCUUUUAGUUUCAUUUUGGCUAUUUGCUCUUUUUGGCUACUGUUCGCACGUCUGAAAAUAUUCACCGACAACCCUUAAUCUGAGAACACUCACGAACUCUCACAGAAUCCUCUUAUCCUUCUCCAAUCGAAACUCACAAGAACCCUUUUCUAAUUCUUUUGUUUCUUCAUUGGAAUCGGUGGUGAAUGGAAGCACUUUCUGAAAUAUGAUUACACUGAAGGGUUGUCAUCGUUUCUGUGUCACUAGACUCCCUUGAAAAAGAAAGAGCCAUAUAUGCAGUUGUGUUGGAAAAACCAAGGUUGAAAGCAUCUUGUUCAAUACUCAUAAACCCCAAAUCUCUGCUUGGUGCUCUUUCUUCUUUGCACGAAAGUGACAGUGAGUUUCGAUCUUGUUUGAGGCUAUUUUAUUUCUCUUCUUGCUGCUCUUUUCUUACUGUCGUUGUUCAGUUUAGAAUCAUCAUUAUUCAGACUCUCAUUUACACGAUUAUUGCUCUUCAGGUGAUUUUUGGGUAUUUUCAUUGCCUUUUAUUUUUGGUAUCUGAGUCCCACAUAUGUGUGUUUACUGACCAAGGCUGCUCAUCACUUUCCCUUAUCUUCUAAGUAUAAGAAUUAGUUUGGACGUAGUGAUUUAUAAUUUGUGUGUGCUUACUCUUAGUUAUAAGAACUUUAAUAUAUUUGAAUCAUUGAACAAAUAAAUUAAAAGCAACUACUAUCUGAUUAGAACCUACAUACUAAUAAGUUGGAGCAAGGCCUAUGGUUUAUAACAAUACACAAAUUUAGAAAAUCACUCUAGGUAAAGUUUCAAUUACUUUGUUAUAGGAUUACAUACUUUUGAUGUUGUGAUAUCAGCAUUGUUGGUUGCAUUUAAUGUCUUUAAAUUCAAAUAGUUACAUGUAUGUUAUAAAGUUAAGAUAGUCACAUAAUAUUAGUGGUUAUAGGGCUCAUGCAUCCACUUUUGGCACUAUUAGAGUUGAUAUUUUUUUGGAUAUUGUUGUGUAGAUCAACAAAACUAUAUGGUCUGCUUCUACCUUUUGGAUAAUUGCAACAAUGUAAAAAACUCUCUAAUAUAAGAAGAUUAAUUUUUUUUUCUCUAGAAGUGUCUAUGGUCUGUUGUAGUUGACAAGUCGUUUGCAGAAGUAUGAGUUCUGAAAAAGGAAAUUGGAGGCUGGACCAAUGAGUACUUCUACUAUUAAUUUUCAAGAUGCUUUUAUUGGUGGUUAUAAGGCUCAUAUCUCCACUGUUGCAUAGUAUGGAGGACAAUAUAGUUAUGUUGAUGGUUCAAUAGAGGAAUGGUUAAUGAUGAUAUCGAUGAAGAAUUUCGAGAUUUUGAAGUACAAGAGAUGAAGACAUAUGUUGAUGUUUAAGUGUUGUUUAGAUUGUGAAAAUGAUAAUUGACAUUUUGACGUAAAAGUAUACAUUAAAUAUUUGAGUACUUUAUCGUGAAGAAUGUUAUUUUGGAUACCUAUAUGAAUGAUAUGAUAUAUUAUUGACAAGUAUUUGGUAUGUAAUUUUAAAUUUAGAAUCAUAUUUGAA